CAUCGUCUUCUCUCUCUUUCUCAAACCUCUUCAGAGCUUCUUCUCUCUCUUUCUCAAACCUUUCAACUUCUUCAUCUGUCACUGGAUCACCCACACACCACACCAUGGCGAACACCAAAUCUUCAGCUUCAUCUCUCUCUUUCUCACUCACACAGAAUACCACACCAUGGCGAGACUUCAUCUCUAUCUUUUCUGACUCAAACAUUCAGAUCUACUCAAAAAAUAAUCUUUUUGGUUCUUUUCUGUUGGAUCUCGAGUUUUGAUCUCGAUUUUGCUCUUAGAUCUACUUUGUAUUUGUUUUACGAUACUUCAUCUUUGUCUUUCUAACUCAAACAUUCAGAUCUACUCAAAAAAUAAUCUUUUUGGUUCUUUUCUAUUGGAUCUCGAGUUUUGAUCUCGAUUUUGCUCUUAGAUCUACUUUGUAUUUGUUUUAUUUUUGUGUUGCAUUGAUGUUUUGCUCUCAGAAUCAUGAGCAACGUGAAGAACACAAAAAAGAUCUACUGUUGGAUGAAUUUGUUCUUCUCAGAUCUACUUUUCUUUUGGUUCAUUUUUUCCUCUUAUAUUCUUGAGCACCUUCACAAGACUUAAAAAAAGAUCUACUUUUCUUUUGUUAUUCUUUUGGUUGAUGUUUUGCUCUGAGAGCCUUGAGCAACUUGACGAAGACAAAAAAGAUUUUCUUUUCUUUGUUGACAAAUGUGUUGGGUCGAGGUUUUUUUCUCAGAUCUAUUGUUUAAUGGAUUUUUUCUUCUCAGAUCUUUUUUGUUGAUGUUUUCCUCUGAGAUUUUUUAGGACCUUCACCGUACUAAAAAUAAGGUAACAACUUCUAAUUUUUUUUCUCAGAUCUACUACCAUCUUCUCAUAUCUACUUUGUUUUCUAUUAUUUUUGUUUUUCAUGGAUAUUUUUAAGCAAGAUCUACUUAUUUUUGUUCGGUGGAUUUUUUCAUAUUUACUUUUCUUUGUUGACAAAAUGUGUUGGGUUGAGGUUUUUUCUCAGAUCUACUAUUGAAUGAAUUUGUUCUUCUCAGAUAUACUUUUUUUUUGUUGAUGUUUUCCUCUGAGAUGUUUUAGGACCUUCACCGUACUAAAAACAAGAUUUACUUUGUUGUUCGUAUUUUCGUUCUUCUACACAGUAAAGGUUGAAUCUUUUAACCUUUCACUCUUUGACGACGACAAUAAAGACAUAUAGAUAUAUCAAUGGACACUCACUACACCAAGUUUACUAGCUGCAAAGUUUAAAGAUGGUUUCAUUACAGUUCAUUUACAAGAAAAUGUAUGUAUUUGACUAUAAUAAUCUUUUUUGGUCAAAUAAGUACUUUAAUAUUUUUUUCCUUAUGCAUUAACGAAGAUACUUUAAAAUUGAAAUUAAAGUAUAAAGUAUUUUUUUUAUGACUGAUUCAAAUACGUGGAUUGUUGAAAAACAUUUUUUUUUAUGUUUUAGGUAACUUAAGUGUGAAAAGAUAACAACAUAUUUCUUGUCGCACACCUUUUGGUUGCAGCAUGCAACAAUUAAUCAUUUCCAAAACAUUCAAUGCUCUCUCUUGGU
Long non-coding RNA from Vigna unguiculata (cowpea), 1543 nucleotides. RefSeq lists it as uncharacterized. NCBI's taxonomy places the organism in Eukaryota, Viridiplantae, Streptophyta, Magnoliopsida, Fabales, Fabaceae. The record is from RefSeq and is a predicted model, not a curated record.